UUUCUCCCUGUCGAAUUCAAUUCGAAGAGAGUUUAUUCUCUUCUUCUUCUUCUUCUUCUUCUUCUUCUUCUCUUCUUCUGUUCGUCAUCUCUUUCUCCCUGUCGAAUUCAAUUCCAAAGGUCUAGAUGAGUCGAGUUUUUCUUUUUUUGGGGAGUGAUUCAUGUAAAUAUUGAGAUCUAGAUAAAUCUAAGAAGAGGAUGAUGAAUCUGGAAACUAAUUGAGAAGGAAUACAAAUCAGGGUUUCUCCUACCAUACUUUUCUUCUUCUUCUGCAACAAACUCCUACCAUACUUUUCUUCUCCGACAAACCAUGGCUCUUCCUCAUGAAUCAGUUGAGUUGUUUCCGUCAAUUUGAAAAAUGGGUCUCGAGAUUUCACAGGAAAAAGGUUUCUGUGAGAUUCGAUUUGGAUUGAUUCUCUAUGGGAUUUGUUCUCACCAACAGAAGGGUAAAAUCGUGCGCGUUGUUAGAAAAUGAGAACAAUUGUGGGUGAGAAAGUUCAUAUUUCAGGUGGUAUCACGAUUUGAACUACAUUGGCUAAGAUGUGCAGAACACCAAGUAUUUUCCUUCUUUAUUACCUUUUGUUUCUCGAAUGUACCUUUGCAACAGUGUUUCCUUGACACGGCGAAGAGGUAGAUCUUUGCAAUUCUAUAUCAUCCCGACCUUAUCCCCCUUUUUUAAUUUAGUCGAGCUAAGGCUACAUCUCUCUGCAGAAAGGAUGUUGAUAAGAUUGUUACAAUACUGAUGUUCCUGUCGGAAGUCAUUAUAAAAGGUGAUACUGUCAUUUGAGGUAAGGAUACAUGAAUGGCAGAAAGGAGAAGAAGAGGAGUGUUCCCACAACUGUGAAACUAAACAACAAAGUAAACUGUUAUCAACGAAAGGAAAAAAGACACGAGUCAUCCAGGAAGGAUGAAAGACGAUGAUGUAAUUAAGUUUCUGUUUUAGAGUUAUCAUCAUUGGCUGUCUCUUCAUCUUGUAAUUUACAAUUGAUGUUUUACGAAAUCUACUUUAGCAAAGAAUAGAGUUAUUGUUUCUUU
This is a long non-coding RNA of Papaver somniferum (opium poppy), 1034 nucleotides long. RefSeq lists it as uncharacterized. The record is from RefSeq and is a predicted model, not a curated record. Lineage: Eukaryota; Viridiplantae; Streptophyta; Magnoliopsida; Ranunculales; Papaveraceae. The transcript has 5 exons.